CCUGCCCUUGUACUCUAUAGUAGUGGAAUCACCAAGCCUGUACCCAGCGUCUGACAUCUUAGACUCAACAUCAUAUCUGUGAGAAGCUCUGUGUUUCUAUAUUCCCACUCUUUGCCAUACACAGUUGUGCUGCCUACAUUACACACUUUCCUUACCGUCCAUUACUGAUAUGAAAUGUCUCCCAAGAGUUCAUAUGCUGACAGAAAAUGCAAGCUCCCAGUAAAGCUGUUGAAUUGAGAAUGUGAAUCAUUCCAUGGCAGCAGAAGGAAGGGCGGCAAAUGAUGUCUGCAAAGUAGACACGGAUUUUGUUUUGGAUCCAAGAAAUCACUGAAAAGGUCACGAAAUAAUUGCCACUCAUUAAAAGCCACUUUUUAAAAA
Molecule: long non-coding RNA, 378 nt
Organism: Mastomys coucha (southern multimammate mouse)
Lineage: Eukaryota; Metazoa; Chordata; Mammalia; Rodentia; Muridae
Exons: 2
Source: RefSeq, a predicted model, not a curated record